GACGAACGCUGGCGGCGUGCUUAACACAUGCAAGUCGAACGGAAAGGCCCUGCUUGCAGGGUACUCGAGUGGCGAACGGGUGAGUAACACGUGGGUGAUCUGCCCUGCACUUCGGGAUAAGCCUGGGAAACUGGGUCUAAUACCGGAUAGGAGCCAUUUUGAGUGUGAUGGUUGGAAAGUUUUUUUCGGUGUAGGAUGAGCUCGCGGCCUAUCAGCUUGUUGGUGGGGGAAUGGCCUACCAAGGCGGCGACGGGUAGCCGGCCUGAGAGGGUGGACGGCCACAUUGGGUCUGAGAUACGGCCCAGACUCCUACGGGAGGCAGCAGUGGGGAAUAUUGCACAAUGGGCGCAAGCCUGAUGCAGCGACGCCGCGUGGGUGAUGACGGCCUUCGGGUUGUAAACUCCUUUCGCUAGGGACGAAGCUUUUUGUGACGGUACCUAGAUAAGAAGCACCGGCUAACUACGUG
RNAcentral lists this ribosomal RNA (466 nucleotides) under uncultured bacterium. Its description in RNAcentral is "partial 16S ribosomal RNA". It matches the Rfam family "Bacterial small subunit ribosomal RNA", at positions 28 to 507 of the family's 1533-position model. The record is from RNAcentral.